This 76-nucleotide small RNA is filed under the name Flavobacterium resistens. RNAcentral describes it as "Flavo-1 RNA". It matches the Rfam family "Flavo-1 RNA". The record is from RNAcentral. Lineage: Bacteria; Pseudomonadati; Bacteroidota; Flavobacteriia; Flavobacteriales; Flavobacteriaceae.
UCCUAGCCCUGAUGGGAGCGGCAUCCUUUUGUGCUGGGGUUCAGCACAAAAGAUAUAGCGGACAGCAGGAAUCAGC